RNAcentral lists this ribosomal RNA (377 nucleotides) under uncultured bacterium. Its description in RNAcentral is "bacterial SSU rRNA". It matches the Rfam family "Bacterial small subunit ribosomal RNA", at positions 523 to 898 of the family's 1533-position model. The record is from RNAcentral.
AUACGUAGGUGGCAAGCGUUGUCCGGAUUUAUUGGGCGUAAAGCGAGCGCAGGCGGUUGAUUAAGUCUGAUGUGAAAGCCCCCGGCUCAACCGGGGAGGGUCAUUGGAAACUGGUCAACUUGAGUGCAGAAGAGGAGAGUGGAAUUCCAUGUGUAGCGGUGAAAUGCGUAGAUAUAUGGAGGAACACCAGUGGCGAAGGCGGCUCUCUGGUCUGUAACUGACGCUGAGGCUCGAAAGCGUGGGGAGCGAACAGGAUUAGAUACCCUGGUAGUCCACGCCGUAAACGAUGAGUGCUAAGUGUUGGAGGGUUUCCGCCCUUCAGUGCUGCAGCUAACGCAUUAAGCACUCCGCCUGGGGAGUACGACCGCAAGGUUGAA